Molecule: non-coding RNA, 26 nt
Filed under: Rattus norvegicus (Norway rat)
Lineage: Eukaryota; Metazoa; Chordata; Mammalia; Rodentia; Muridae
Source: RNAcentral
UCGAAACCAUGAGGAAGUUUUCUGUC